AGGACCUCUCCCGGAGGCGGGGCAGAGCAGCAGCUUCUCGGCCCUGUGCCGAGCCCAGGCCUGCACCCUAGGCAGGCACUGCUCCGUGAUCCAGGAACCACCUCUCUCUACAGCUGGGAGUGAGCAGUCAGAGAGGGAGACAGCCUUGCCCGGUGCUACCCAGCAAGCUAGUCACCGAGUGGGCAGAGGGAGGAGCGGCCCUCACCGGAUGUCAAGCAGCCUGGGUCCCCAGUCCAGCUCUGCCUGUCCCUCGCAAUAACGCCUCAGUGACGACCAUUUGUGAGCCAUCUCUCUGUCUCAGGCACGGUGCUACAUGCCAACGAAACCUGCUCCCAUUGAACCCUGGCCAGCCAGUGAAGAAAGGGUUGGGCCUGGGAGGUGCCACUUUACAGACAGGGGCACCAAGGGGCAGGGUGGCAGGAGGCCCACCGGACGUUCCCCAUGAAGUAGCAGUACCAGCAUCCACACCCAGCAGGCACCACGCUGGCCCGCAGCCUCCCUGCCAGCACGCCUGGCUUCCCGGCCUCGGAACUUGAUCUGCUCCCUCUUCCGGACACUGGGGCUCCUGCCAAGUCCUGGGCUGGGCAGCAACUGCUGAACAUUCUAAGAAAUCCCUCCCAGGGUUUUCUCAGGAGCCCGGGUGGGGCAGGAAGUCCCCAGGGGCUGAGGGGACCGUGGCGGCAGGUGGCACCCAGAGCAGCACUCUCCUGGGGCCCAGGCUGUUGGGCCAGAGGCAGGACUGUGAGGCCUAGUGUAGGGCCUCCUGCCAGUGGCCGGCACCUACUUGUGGGGCUGGGGGUUCCCCCAGCAGGUUGGGCUCCCCACCUGACACACUCACAGACCUUGUGCCUUGGAGAGCCAGUGUUCCCGGGGCCACAUAGCUAUGCCGCCCAGGGGCUGGGCCUGUCCCAGCUCUGGUCCCCCGGCCCCAGGUCCUGGACGCUGGCUCCGCGCAGCAGCAGGCGGCCUCCGGAGGACACGAUGUGACUGGCUGCCGCUACGUCGCACUCAGAUGAGUCUGCGCCGGAUCGACCUGCUGCCGAGUCCUGCCGGACAGGCACAGGCAGGGAGUGAAAAUUAUCUACCCCUUUUUAUUUCUUAAUAACUGAAUGAAAAUAAACAUUGGUGGUUUGACAAAUAACUACAUAUUUUCAAACCCA
Homo sapiens (human) is the source of this 1160-nucleotide long non-coding RNA. Ensembl annotates it as long intergenic non-protein coding RNA 1978. The record is from Ensembl. NCBI's taxonomy places the organism in Eukaryota, Metazoa, Chordata, Mammalia, Primates, Hominidae.